AAACUUUCCCCAGCAUCUCUCAGACUCCAAGUAACUUUCUUGCGCAAGCCAAUGGCACGCUCCAGCAGCGGCCAGGAAGCCUCUCUGCACAGAUCCGUACCAGCGCCGCCAGAGUGGGGACCACCGGGGCCAGGCUGCCGCCAAGGCUCCGGCAGGGCCGCGGGACACUGAGACCCCAGGGCCCCCACCGGCCCUCCGCCCUCCCUCGCGCGUCUCGGCCCCGCGACCGGCGUGCACCUUGGCAUAGCAGAAGCAGAUGAGCAGGAGCGGCAGCAGGUAGCCGAAGACGAAGGUGCACACCACGUAGGCCUUCUUGUGGCGAGGGUCGGGCCACUGCUCCCAGCAGAAGGUCUGGUUGCUGGCGCGCGGGUGGAAGAGGCCCUGGUGGUAGGCCACGGGCGAGGCCAUGGCAAUGGACAGCGCCCAGAUGCAGCCCACGCCCAGCAGCGCGUUGCGGGACACCCUGAGGGAGGAGGAGCGCCGCGAGUGCACGAUGGCCACGUAGCGGUCCACGGACAUCGCGGCCAGGGUGAAGAUGCUCACCAGCAUGGACACGGUGAAGAAGUAGUGGAUGAACUUGCAGAUGAAGGCGCCCAGCACCCAGGGUGGCUGUCCGUGAGAACGCCUCUCUCCCAGGAAUAACCCCAGGAAAUCGAGGCUGGCGACGCUCCCUGGAGUUUUGUAAAAUUGGCCGCCUAAUCCCACCCUCACCCCGCGGCCUGCUACAGAGGAGAGAAGUGCAAAGGGAAAGGGCCGCGUGAGCUUCUCUAUAGACGUGGCUGACAUGGAAGGGGAAGGCUGUUCACACCACCCAACCUCACUUCAUUUUUGCCUUGUAUUACUCAUCUGAGGGACAUAAACUGCAGCAGUGACAAACGAAAUAUUUUUAAAGUGAAAGAAAGUGUUUAGUAUCUUACUGCCGUAAAUGUGGAUUUGCCAGAAAGAAAUUAAGCCGUUUCGGUAUAGCAGGGCCAGUCACGUUAGCUUUGUAACCUUGGUGGUUCCCAGCUAGAGAGCUGACACUGAUUCCUUUAUUUGCGGUGAUUUGUCUGUUUUCACUUUCAAAAACACCGAUGCGUUUCCAGCAUUCACCAUCUGGUGACUGUCCAUUAUGCGCGGACGCAGUGCCUGAGGGGAUGGGUAAUCCAAAGACCAAAGAGGGCAGGGGCUCUUUGCCUUGAGGAGUUAAGGAAGUAGGAUCUUGUUUUUCUACCUUGCUAGCUCUGUUCUGCCUCAUUUCCAGAUAAAUCUUGAUGCAGUUCAUUGAACAUCUAUGUAUUUUAUCUACAUUCAUUGCUAGGGAGUUCCUUGCAAGGGAAUUGUUCUAUUCACACACAUUUUCUGGAAGACAAAAUUGAGUGUAAGCAACUUGCCUAUUUGGGUAUCCUGCUAAAGCCAAGAAUGCUCUUACCUGCCCCGACCUGAGAGAAUGCCUUGAAACUUCCUCAGGUGAUCUUGCCAAUCCGUAUUGCUUUUCUUCCCUGAGACGCUCUCCGACCCAGGCUUUCAAAGUAUCAUGUUGUAUUUGACAGCUCUGUUGCAUUGAAAGUUAGUAGUAAUAUGAUUUGGGAGAGUUUUUAAAUUAUGAACUAUUUUCACAUGAAACAGAUAUGAUAAAAUUACAUUGAAUACCAAUGCACCCACCAUCUAGCUUAGAAUAAUUUUUAAAUAUUAUCACUAGAGUUGAAGUCACUUUUAUAUAUUUUCCAGUCACAACCUCCACCUCUCCCACUAUCUCCAAGUAACCUAAAUUUGUUGUCUAUUAGUCAUUUCUUUAUACAUUUUUGGCAUACGCAUAUGAUCUUAAUAUAUUGUGGUGAUUUUUUUUUUUUUUUUUUUUUUUUUUGCUUUAACAUUAUGUGGUUGGUAUUAUGGUACAUGUUUUGUUUGUUUUUGCCUUAAAGUAUAAUUUGUCUGUUAUUGCUAUAAGUACAACAACAUUCUUUGCUUUGUAUUUGCCUGUUACAUCUUUUACAGCCUUCCUAUGUUAUGUCCUGCAAUUUAAAGGUAUCUCUUUAAUAUAGCACAUAACUGAAUUAUUUUAAAACACAAUUUUAAAAUCUCUAGUUUUUAACUGGUGAGUUUAGGUCAUUUAUAUUUAUUGUUAUUACUAACCUAUAUGGAUUUAUUUUUAACAUUUUAUUUUGUACUUUUUAUUUGUUUUCUAUUUCUGUGCUUUUUCUCUCUCUCUCUCUCUCUCUUUUCAUGACAUCUUUUGAAUUGCAUUUUAAAGUGUUUUCUCCCUCCCUCCACAUUCUUGGAAAAGGAAGAAAUAUAGUGUAUAUUUAUUGUUUUACUGGUUACCCUUGAGUGCCUACUAUGUGCCAGGAACUAUUGUAGGUUCUGGAGAUAGAGCAAUUAACACAACAAAGUACUUUCUUUUAUGGAUUUUACAUUUCAUUAUGGACACGACAUUUAAAAAUAAAUAAAAUGAUAAUGUCACAUGUGGUAAA
Long non-coding RNA from Homo sapiens (human), 2453 nucleotides. RefSeq lists it as uncharacterized. NCBI's taxonomy places the organism in Eukaryota, Metazoa, Chordata, Mammalia, Primates, Hominidae. The transcript has 2 exons. The record is from RefSeq and is a predicted model, not a curated record.